AGCGAACGCUGGCGGCAGGCCUAACACAUGCAAGUCGAACGAACUCUUCGGUGUUAGUGGCGGACGGGUGAGUAACACGUGGGAACGUGCCUUUAUGUUCGGAAUAACUCAGGGACACUUGUGCUAAUACCGAAUGUGCCUUUCGGGGGAAAGAUUUAUCGCCUUUAGAGCGGCCCGCGUGUGAUUAGCUAGUUGGUGAGGUAAAGGCUCACUACGGCGACGAUCAGUAGCUGGGCUGAGAGGAUGAUCAGCAACAUGGGGACUUAGACAGGCACCAAACUCCUACGGUAGGCAGUAGUGGGGAAGCUUGCGCAACGAGGGAAAGUCUGGCGCAGCCCCGCCGCGGGAUGUAUGAUGGUCUUAGGUGUGUAAAAUUCUGUCACCGGGGGCGAUAAUGACGGUACCCGGAGAAGAAGCCCCGGCUAACUUCGUGCCAGCAGCCGCCGUAA
Molecule: ribosomal RNA, 449 nt
Filed under: uncultured bacterium
Lineage: Bacteria
Description: partial 16S ribosomal RNA
Rfam family: Bacterial small subunit ribosomal RNA
Source: RNAcentral